AGCUUGCUGGGUGGAUUAGUGGCGAACGGGUGAGUAACACGUGAGUAACCUGCCCUUAACUCUGGGAUAAGCCUGGGAAACUGGGUCUAAUACCGGAUAGGAGCGUCCACCGCAUGGUGGGUGUUGGAAAGAUUUAUCGGUUUUGGAUGGACUCGCGGCCUAUCAGCUUGUUGGUGAGGUAAUGGCUCACCAAGGCGACGACGGGUAGCCGGCCUGAGAGGGUGACCGGCCACACUGGGACUGAGACACGGCCCAGACUCCUACGGGAGGCAGCAGUGGGGAAUAUUGCACAAUGGGCGCAAGCCUGAUGCAGCGACGCCGCGUGAGGGAUGACGGCCUUCGGGUUGUAAACCUCUUUCAGUAGGGAAGAAGCGAAAGUGACGGUACCUGCAGAAGAAGCACCGGCUAACUACGUGCCAGCAGCCGCGGUAAUACGUAGGGUGCGAGCGUUAUCCGGAAUUAUUGGGCGUAAAGAGCUCGUAGGCGGUUUGUCGCGUCUGUCGUGAAAGUCCGGGGCUUAACCCCGGAUCUGCGGUGGGUACGGGCAGACUAGAGUGCAGUAGGGGAGACUGGAAUUCCUGGUGUAGCGGUGGAAUGCGCAGAUAUCAGGAGGAACACCGAUGGCGAAGGCAGGUCUCUGGGCUGUAACUGACGCUGAGGAGCGAAAGCAUGGGGAGCGAACAGGAUUAGAUACCCUGGUAGUCCAUGCCGUAAACGUUGGGCACUAGGUGUGGGGACCAUUCCACGGUUUCCGCGCCGCAGCUAACGCAUUAAGUGCCCCGCCUGGGGAGUACGGCCGCAAGGCUAAAACUCAAAGGAAUUGACGGGGGCCCGCACAAGCGGCGGAGCAUGCGGAUUAAUUCGAUGCAACGCGAAGAACCUUACCAAGGCUUGACAUGUUCUCGAUCGCCGUAGAGAUACGGUUUCCCCUUUGGGGCGGGUUCACAGGUGGUGCAUGGUUGUCGUCAGCUCGUGUCGUGAGAUGUUGGGUUAAGUCCCGCAACGAGCGCAACCCUCGUUCCAUGUUGCCAGCACGUAAUGGUGGGGACUCAUGGGAGACUGCCGGGGUCAACUCGGAGGAAGGUGAGGACGACGUCAAAUCAUCAUGCCCCUUAUGUCUUGGGCUUCACGCAUGCUACAAUGGCCGGUACAAUGGGUUGCGAUACUGUGAGGUGGAGCUAAUCCCAAAAAGCCGGUCUCAGUUCGGAUUGGGGUCUGCAACUCGACCCCAUGAAGUCGGAGUCGCUAGUAAUCGCAGAUCAGCAACGCUGCGGUGAAUACGUUCCCGGGCCUUGUAC
This 1298-nucleotide ribosomal RNA is filed under the name bacterium AM0075. RNAcentral describes it as "bacterial SSU rRNA". It matches the Rfam family "Bacterial small subunit ribosomal RNA", at positions 77 to 1386 of the family's 1533-position model. The record is from RNAcentral.